GCCAGAGAGAGCAUGUCUGCUAGAAUUGCAGACAGCUCACUGAGGAUGGUAACUUGGAAGGCAUCUUUCCAGAUGGCAGUCCACGUUUGACUGGCAGAGGGUUUUGUAUGUUCAGUUGAUGGUGACAUUACACAGACCGGGAACUCUUCAUACAGCAACAUUAUCUUUAUGGCUGUUUUGUUCUUUAGUGUUUCAUAGCCAACUUCAUGUCAUGCAGGACAAUAUAAUGUACACUUUUUGAGCUCACAUUGCUCUUCAAAGAUUUCCUGCGGAGAUGAAAGUAAACUAGAGAAUUUAGUUUUAUUGUGUAUCAUUUUGACCCAUUCAAUUAUAAUCAUUUUUAUUACCGCUCAAACUCUGAUUUACGAAAGGAAGACGUGCGAUUAACAGGCUGUAAUAAAUUCCUCACCCCUCUUUGGUUCCGUACUCUUGAGUUUCUCCCGCUGUAUCUGACCUCAUGCUUUACGCAGUGCGGUCGUCGAGUUGAUAAUCCGUGUCAGUAAUCUCUUUUAACAAUUUAUUUCAGAAAGACAGAUCAAACACACCAUUUCCCCUGACGUGGAGUACAGACCGGUAGGUCAUUCUAUUGUUAUAUGUUAAUUAGCCAUAUGGAUAACUUUUUUUUAACUUGCUGGCUAGCUAGUUGCUUGCUGGCUAGCUAGCGUUCAUGUAAUUUAAGUUCUGUCGGAGUUUCCUUCGCACACAUUUGAUUGUUAACGAUAGCUUGGCGAGAGUGACAUUUAUACUUCAGUUUUCAUACGAGCCUUGAUUUGGUAGCUUGUCGAAUGUUGUUAUCCUGACACUCCAGUUUUGUUUCUUGGCUAUUGGCUAGCCACUUUCGUUUUGCUAAACCAUUUGGAAGAAAAUAUUGCUGACACGUUAGCCAGACAGGCCAGUGACCACAUUCAAGUUGUUACUGACCUAUUCUUCAAUUUUAGCACAUUGCGCUCUGUUCUUGCCGAGAUUAAUUAUUAUAUCUACAUUAAGGAUUUGUAUGUUCUUCUAUCUCGCAAAUAUAGAUCGAGUCCUGUAGUUGAGUUAUAUUUGACUUUUUAUCAGCACACCUUGGUGACGCCAGUCAAUCAGCUACAUCACCUUUCACAUGCUCGUGCAUCAUCAACAAAGACGAAUGGUGAGACUGAUAGUCGGCUUCAUUUUCAAGUCUUGUGUUGGUAAGAAUGGAUUUGGCAAUAUAUUUGUAUGGUCAAACUGUGUGAAAUAUGAUAUUGUGAAACAUUGCACCGUUAAACGUGAGCAGGAGUCUAUUUUAUGGAAUUGAUUGGGAUCAAUGCCAAUUGUCAAUCGAGCACGGCAAAAUGAGAUUGACUUUACAGCACCCAUUUGAGUCAAGACUCAAACUGACAGAUGUAGAGUGUGGUAUAGCAGCUAGAUAAUGCAUUAUCUCGAUAUUAUUAAAAAAACAUAGCUGAUAUCUGCUUCUGUCCCUUGCAGCCCCGUAUUUGCAGUGACUGGUGUUGUUGAGCCACCUUGUGGUGUUUGCACACAGUGUUCCCCCCCUGCCUCCCUCUCUCUGUUUCUCCAUCUACUCUGUCGCAUUUUUUUCUCUCACUCUUUCUCAGUUGUUAGGGUGUUUGACACCUGAGGUCUGCCACUAUGCAGCCUGGAGGAGCACACAAUGCUGUGUGUGGCCAGAGCCUGCUGUCCAACUCCCUUAGGGUGUAUCUGAACAACAAGAACAGACUGCAGCCCAUAAUCGGUCAGGAACAACUCUGUGUUUUUGUAAAUGAUACGUCUGUGUUUUAGACCAAUGUGUGUACUUUAGACCUGUGUGUGUGUUUUUAGGUCUGGGCUGUGUGACAGAGUGUGUGACACUCGGCUUGGACUCUGAGGCGGUGUACCUGUGUGAGGUGUGUGUGUGUCGUCUCAGUAAGGCUGAUGUCAGGAGCCACAUCAUGGGGAGUCUCCACCGAUACAACUACAUUAAAGUCCAUCACCCUCACUUUGUGUCAGAGUGGAAGCAGAGUCCUCCUGACCUGUCCAAGCUGGCCCGGCCUCUUAUGGAGAUGGCUCAAAUACUAGAGAAGAGAGAAGGAACCGGGGACGUACAGGUAUGUGUGUGUCUGUGCAUGCUGGGGUGAUGUUUGUGUGUGCGUGCAAAUCUCCUCUGUCCUGUCUUUCUGUUAGGUGCUGAAGUUGGAUGCUGCCAUGUAUGACGAUAUGACAACACACAGCGAGAGUGAUGCUCUCAUCCUCUUGCAUGCCACCAGGACUGGGAGGGAGCAGAGAGAUCUUCAGAGCCAAUCAGUGAAGCAAUCAGUCCAGUCGGAGUAUCUUACCAUCCAGUCACAGAGAACUGUGAUAUCGCCUCGGAGGCUCUCCGUCCAACCAGAGAGGCCUGUUGUCCAGCUUGACAACCGAACCGUCCUAUGGAGGAGUCCGACCACCCAGAGUCGGAACUCAUCUAGCCAAUCGGAGAAGUCCCCUGUGUUGCAGCAGAGUGUCUCUAUCCAAUCACGGCUUAGUUCGUUGGAGGAGGAGUUUCUCCAUGGAAGCAAGCCACUGGUUGGUGCUUCACUGAAGCGUCCUGCCUCAUCAUGGCAGCAUGACCCCUCUCUUUCCCCGACCCCAAAUGUCACAGCUGGAAGUCAGACGUCUCUGGGCGGGCCUGAGGGGAAGGGGGCGGGACUGCAGGGGGUUCCUGCAAAGCUGAUUCGCUGUGAGCCGGUGUUCAAGGUCAGUCUAUCUAUGACGGACGGCCCCUGGCUGUUGGAGAGGAACUCCUUCAGCCUGGAAACCUCCCCCUCCUCCCUCAGACACGCCUCACCCCUUCACUCCCCCACCGUAGAUGCCUCACUCCAACCCUCUCCCGAUCCCUCACGUUUGCUUGGCCAGCCGGGAAACUCAGUUGCCGCAAGACUCGGAAACACACAUGAAAAUACACACACUCCGGGACUGAGACGCACUCCGGGACAUGCACACACUUCAACUAUGAGACUGAGCCCAGCCAUACCUGAUGAGCAGCUGACUAUGGGAGACGAGGACACAGAGAAAGACCGUCUGUAUCUCGGAGGGGAACAGAGGUUCACCGACUAUGCUUUGUACGAUGGCAGAGAGAAAAACACAACUGACCUGGUUUACCUCAGGAGAGAGCAGGACCGAACUGACCAUCUGUAUUCAGAAAAUAACCGACUCACUGACACAAAGUUCCAUGUCCGAGUGGGGCAGAACAACCGACAAGGCAGUAUUUACCCCGGUCUAGCCUGUGCCAGAGACAUCACUGACACAGCGUCUGUUGCCGGGCCGAUUCUCUUCACUACCGGCUGUCUCUUGAAGGAGAGCUUGACAGACACUCCUCUAAUGGAAGAAGAACAGGAGGAGGAGAGGGGGAAUGAGUGUCAUUCUGGGGCACAGAGGCUUGCAGAGGAUGACAGGACAACUGACAGUCUGUACUCUACUGGAGAGAGGAUAACAGACAGUGGGUUUUCCACAGGAAGCAGGUCAAAUGACAAAAUGUACCAAACAGGAGAACGAUCAACUGACAAUCAGUCUUUUACAACAGAAGUGACAACUGACUGUUGGUAUGCUACAGGAGAGGAGCUAACUGACCGUCAGUUGAUGGAGGAAGAGGAGCGAUGCAGAGCUGAAAUUCAGAAUGGAGUUGGGCUCAUCGUGGAGGUCAUGGUGGAGGAGGGGGAGAGAGAGGAAGGAAAGGAUGGAGAGAGGGAGGAGAACUCAGACUUUUACCACCAACAGUAUUUGCAAGGCCAGCCUCUACAACGGCACCAGGCGCAGGGGUUCACAGGAACUCAUAGGGGCGCCGUAGGGCUUCAUAUGGUUGACACAGCAGAUCUCAGACAUGACAUAGCCCUUCAUAGAGAUCAGGCAGGGCCAGCCCUUCACCGAGAAGAGAUGAGCAGUCGUAUGGGUGACAUAGCAGCUAUGCAGCAGGUGCAGUUAUGUGAGGCUGAGUACAGAGAAGCAUGGGCCUAUGGAGGCACACAGCUGACCCCUGACACCUAUAGAUCAGGUCCGCAGGAGUAUGAGACUGACCCUGGCUCCUACCUGCCAUUCCCAGAGGGCCACAGAAUAAACUGUGACCCCCACCAAGUGGUUUCUGAUUGGUUUAGAACCACCCCUGGCCCGCACUUCGUUCACUCUAACCCUGACGAGUUUACACCCCAGGUCCUCCCGUACCCCCACAAUACAAUGCCCCAGGGGUUUGGACCCAAUCCCCACUCUGGUCCCUUCCCCAUGAAGAUGAGGGGCGUGCAGUCACAGGAGUACAGAAGGCUCCCCAGCCCCCCAUUUGUUAUGGUGUCUAGACCCUGCCACCCUCAGCCCUUCUUUCCAGGACAUGAAGGCUUUCUGUCCCCCCGGCACAGCCCAGCCUUACCUCCCAGCCCUCCCCACUACAGAGGAGCCUACUUGGGCCACAGCCCUGCCCGGAGUCCCUGGGCAGGACCAGGACCUCCCUGGGUCUAAUUACCACACACCAUACAUAAAUCCACCAGGAUAGUUAUUUGUGGCACUUUAGACACUGUUGUUUUAAAUGGACAGGUGUUUUGUGUGUUUUAUACACUCUAGGUUCUAUUGUUUUUAUAGCUGUCUUAAACCAACAGUAUCCCAUCCAUUGUAUAAGUGCUGAUUUUAGGUACUUCCCCUGUAUGAUGUCAUGAAAUCUCAUUGACAACUGGCAACGAUUCAACUCACCGGUUCAAUUCUGUUACCAAUUCAGAUUUAUACAAGACUUGUUUGUUUUAAGUUGUUUGUCUUCUACCGUCGAAUCAAGAUGGAGCUGAGAUGGAUAAAUAGACAACACGUUGAACACUGGCUAAAUUUUAUAAUAUGAACUCAGUUUGUGAAAUAUCUAUUUUUCAACAACAAAUAUUUUGGUUAAUGCAAAAAAAAAUCUAUGGUUAUAUUAACAUUAAGGUUUAUUUUACACAAUAAGGGGGAUCAAUUAGGGGUUCAACAUUGACCUUUCCAGAACUGUCUAGAAGGAGGCGCUGUAUUAGUUUUCAGUUCGACCAGCUGAGGGAAGCAGAGCUGAAUAAGUUGUUUAAAAUGAUGUUCAGAAACACAACACUUGUUAAAAUAAACAGUUUUAUGUUUAAAUGCUUUUUAUAUUUGCCAUGUGUGCUUCCCUCAUGAAGUUGGGUUUAUUUCAGUGUAACAACAGCUUUGGCCAGUGUUAUACUUUGACUUUGGUUCACACACCUUUACAUUGGCUUAACUGAGUAGAUCUGAUUCCAUUUGUUGAAUUAUUAGUGUUAAUUUGAAGAUUAUUCCCCCAAAAUGUUUAUGUGCAGCAGGUACGACAGACUUGGAUUCGCCUCUUCCUAUAGGCAGACUACGCGCUGCCCUUUUCUUUUUCAAGGAACUGUUGGGUCUCAACUCACUUUUGAAAAGUAGAAUACACCAGGUGCAAUUUUGACAUUUUGUUGUGUAUCAGUAGUUUCCCACUUAUGACAGUCGCUCAAUGAGACCAUGUCAGCAAAACAUUUUAAGAUUGCUAGGUAAGGUAGUUGAGCCAGGGCCCUGACCUCCAGGGGGGCCUCCAUUGGUUUUGUAAUUUUGUCACUCUUUCACAGACACUCAUAUAUAUAUAUAUAUAUAUAUACACACACACACAAGUAUAUGUGGAUUUGUCUAUUUCAGCCACACCUGUUGCUGACAGGUGUUUAAAAUCGAGCACACAGCCAUUCAAUCUCCAUAGACAAACAUUCGCAGUAGAAUGGCCUUACUGAAGAGCUCAGUUACUUUCAACGGGGCACUGUCAUAGGGUUCCACAUUCUCCAACAAGUCAGUUUGUCUAGAGCUACUCGGUCAAUUGUUAUUGUGAAGUGGAAACGUCUUGGAGAAACAACAGCUCGGCUGCGAAGUGGUAGGCCACACAAGCUCACAGAACGGGACCGCCGAGUGCUGUAGAGCACAAAGAUUGUCUGUCCCCUGUUGCAACACUCACUACAGAGUUCCAAACUGGAGGAGGAGGGGGGGUUCUAAAAGGCUAGAGGCAGCACUGGAAAGGCUACUCAGCAAGUGGCAUUGAACUUUAUUUUUUUGGUCAGUUUUGUCUCCCCCACUGCCCAAUGUCAAUUUGUGGGCAUGAUACAACUUGUCAAGCAGGUCUAUAAUAUGGUUAAUGUAGCACAGCUGGAUUCAAGUUGUUUUUUUUAACCUGUUUUUCCAUUGAGUCAAUGCUGUAUUCAAGCGUCUCAUACUAGUUUAUUUUUUUAUUUGCUGCUGUAUUUGAGUACAUUAUGGCCUUCAGGCUAAUAAAGUCACAGUAUCCAUUGAUCUCCUGCUCCAGUCAUCUCCAGCCAUGCAGUGGCUCCCAAUUUAUUAUUUUUUACCAAAGACAAACCAAAUCUUACAUGAGGUCAUUGUCAUUUUGUAGUAAUGCCUGUUUUUUGAUCUUAUGAAUUUCUGACCUUGGAAAACCCUUAGAGGGUUGCGAAACAAAACACUGAUCUACUAAUAUCUUCCAUAACAUUAUCCAGCUGUCAUGUGAAGGCUUGAGAAGGAAGUACUGCACACACCUCAACGUUGCAGCAUAAUCUACUUUAUUGAAUCUGGUUGUUCUCAGUAAUGUUAUUUACAUAUUGAAAUAGUGCAAACAAGUAAGGAAGCCAGAUAAAUGAGACAGUCCUCUAGCAAACAAGUAAGGAAGCCAGAUAAAUGAGACAGUCCUCUAGCAAACAAGUAAGGAAGCCAGAUAAAUGAGACAGUCCUCUAGCAAACAAGUAAGGAAGCCAGAUAAAUGAGACAGUCCUCUAGCAAACAAGUAAGGAAGCCAGAUAAAUGAGACAGUCCUCUAGCAAACAAGUAAGGAAGCCAGAUAAAUGAAACAGUCCUCUAGCAAACAAGUAAGGAAGCCAGAUAAAUGAGACAGUCCACUAGCAAACAAGUAAGCUAGAUAAAUGAGACAGUCCUCUACCAAACAAGGAAGCUAGAUAAAUGAGACAGUCCUCUAGCAAACAAGGAAGCCAGAUAAAUGAGACAGUCCACUAGGUGUCACCCUAUUACAAGUUCACUGAACGUGUGUGGAAGACAUUGCAUUUCCAGUCACGAAAACACAGCAAACUAUCAAACCUUUGAAGUCAACAUUUACUAUUUUCAUAUGUAUUACCUUAACCUUGU
Oncorhynchus tshawytscha (Chinook salmon) is the source of this 7101-nucleotide long non-coding RNA. The record is from Ensembl. NCBI's taxonomy places the organism in Eukaryota, Metazoa, Chordata, Actinopteri, Salmoniformes, Salmonidae.